GGACAACGGCGAUAUUAUGGAGUCGCCUUCGCAUGGCGGAGGUCGGGGGUUCGAAUCCCCUCGGCUCCA
Molecule: transfer RNA, 69 nt
Filed under: Actinomycetota bacterium
Lineage: Bacteria; Bacillati; Actinomycetota
Description: tRNA-Ser
Source: RNAcentral